Molecule: ribosomal RNA, 460 nt
Filed under: uncultured bacterium
Lineage: Bacteria
Description: partial 16S ribosomal RNA
Rfam family: Bacterial small subunit ribosomal RNA
Source: RNAcentral
CCUACGGGAGGCAGCAGUGAGGAAUAUUGGUCAAUGGGCGGAAGCCUGAACCAGCCAAGUCGCGUGAGGGAUUAAGGCCCUGCGCGUCGUAAACCUCUUUUGCCGGGGAGCAGUGCUCCGCACGCGUCCGGACCGGGAGAGUACCCGCAGAUAAAGCCUCGGCUAACCCCGUGCCAGCAGCCGCGGUAAUACGGAGGAUGCGAGCGUUAUCCGGAUUUAUUGGGUUUAAAGGGUGCGUAGGCGGGCAUUUAGGCCGGCGGUAAAAUGUCGGGGCUCAACCCCGGCCUGCCGUCGGAACUGGGUGCCUUGAGUGAGCGAGAGGUAGGCGGAAUGCGUGGUGUAGCGGUGAAAUGCAUAGAUAUCACGCAGAACCCCGAUUGCGAAGGCAGCAUACCGGGGCCCGACUGACGCUGAGGCACGAAAGUGCGGGUAUCGAACAGGAUUAGAUACCCCGGUAGUC